RNAcentral lists this ribosomal RNA (491 nucleotides) under uncultured bacterium. Its description in RNAcentral is "partial 16S ribosomal RNA". It matches the Rfam family "Bacterial small subunit ribosomal RNA", at positions 29 to 506 of the family's 1533-position model. The record is from RNAcentral.
AGUGAACGCUGGCGGUAGGCCUAACACAUGCAAGUCGAACGGCAGCACAGUAAGAGCUUGCUCUUACGGGUGGCGAGUGGCGGACGGGUGAGGAAUACAUCGGAAUCUACUUUUUCGUGGGGGAUAACGUAGGGAAACUUACGCUAAUACCGCAUACGACCUACGGGUGAAAGCAGGGGAUCUUCGGACCUUGCGCGAUUGAAUGAGCCGAUGUCGGAUUAGCUAGUUGGCGGGGUAAAGGCCCACCAAGGCGACGAUCCGUAGCUGGUCUGAGAGGAUGAUCAGCCACACUGGAACUGAGACACGGUCCAGACUCCGACGGGAGGCAGCAGUGGGGAAUAUUGGACAAUGGGCGCAAGCCUGAUCCAGCCAUACCGCGUGGGUGAAGAAGGCCUUCGGGUUGUAAAGCCCUUUUGUUGGGAAAGAAAAGCAGCAGGUUAAUACCCCGCUGUUCUGACGGGACCCAAAGAAUAAGCACCGGCGAACUUCGU